CAAGUCGUUUCCAUGACGACUACUGUGUUCCACAGAGUAUUGACUGGGCUGUAAAAGACAUGCCUAAAGAAAUCCCAUCUGCAACUUUAGAAAAGCAAGGUCUGAUCUUUAUCCCCAAGCACGCAAUCAAGAUCAAGGAGAAAUGGGAUUGGCUGACAAUGGAUGUGAAGGGACCAUUUCCAGAGACCAAAAGUAGACACAAGUUUGUACUAACUGUAAUGGACUACUACUCCAAAUGGAUGGAAGCCUACCCCAUGAAGACCAACAACAGUAAAGAGAUUGCCAAAAUAAUCUCUGACCUCAUCUCUCGCUUUGGCUUCCCUGUUGGAAUCCUGUCUUGUUUGACUCG
Molecule: long non-coding RNA, 349 nt
Organism: Oncorhynchus masou masou (cherry salmon)
Lineage: Eukaryota; Metazoa; Chordata; Actinopteri; Salmoniformes; Salmonidae
Exons: 4
Source: RefSeq, a predicted model, not a curated record